This is a long non-coding RNA of Anguilla rostrata (American eel), 543 nucleotides long. RefSeq lists it as uncharacterized. The record is from RefSeq and is a predicted model, not a curated record. Lineage: Eukaryota; Metazoa; Chordata; Actinopteri; Anguilliformes; Anguillidae. The transcript has 3 exons.
CCUCGCUAAACACAAUAGGUGCGCUCAUUCCUAUAACCAUGCGUGUGCCCUGGCGCGCCGUUUGCCGGUGGAAACCAGAUGUGACGAAUCGACAAACAGAUUUGAGCGAGCUUUCUACUAUGGUAUUCCUCUAUGAGCAAGGCAAACCUUGCACAUCACCACUACCUGCAGACAGAUCGGUGCUUAAGCAACAAACCCCAUAGAGCACUGCAAAAGAUCGCUCAGUCUACUGGUCCAGAAGUUAUGGGUGGAGUCCACAUUGGUGCAGCAUUUAGUGAGAGUGAAUGAGGUCACGCAACCGAAGAAAGUUCCAUGAAACUCAGGCCCUUAGUGCACCCCUUCCCCUCCGGUGUGCUCAUUAUUAUGCAGCAGUUUUUCUCCUGUGAUCCGCACAAUGCUGAGAUCAUAACCAUGUCAUGGACAGGUCAGAGGAAGCAUGGUUUGCAACACUGAGGCACUCUCUGCAGGUCAUAGAGUUUUAUCCCUUCUUCCAGGGCUGACACACAUCCUGGGUUGAGUGUUUGUGUGUGUAGGUGUAGGUGU